CUUAAGCAUAUUAAUAAGCGGAGGAAAAGAAACCAACAGGGAUAUUCUUAGUAACGGCGAGUGAAGAGAAUACAGCCCAGCGCUGAAUCGUAUUGCUUGAAAGAGUGAUGCGACAUGUAGCGUGAAACUGGCGGCUGUUGUUGUUAUCGAUGCGUGUAAGUCUCCUUGAGCGGGGCUCAGUCCCAGAGAUGGUGCUAGGCCCGUAUCGCGCGUGAUAAGCACAACAACGCCCGCUUGUGGAGAGUCAGGUUGCUUGGGAACGCAAUCUAAAGCCGGUGGUACACUCCAUCGAAGGCUAAAUAUGGCCACGAGUCCGAUAGCGAACAAGUACCGUGAGGGAAAAUUGAAAAGCACUUUGAAGAGAGAGCGAAAUAGUGCGUGAAACCGCUUAGAGGCAAGCAGAUGGAUUCUCGAAGGUGUGCAUAGGAUUUAUUUCCUAGUUCUCACGCCACCACUGUUGUUGACGUGCACCACACGCUGACAUUUGGACGCUUGAGAUUGGGACUUGUGCCUGCUUGAGACGCUCGGUGUUGAACGUGGUGAGUUUUUGUGGCAUGCAAUAACAGAGCAGAGCAUUUGUCGUCGCUGUAAAGCGCCGACUGUGGCCGCUUGCUGAUGCUUGUCGUUGCGGCAAAGCGCAAGCUUUGACGUGCGAUUAGUGUUGCAAAUCGGCUAUUAGUACCGGCAAGACGACUUUAAGACUCGGUGGCGAGUAGAUGAAAUUCCAUUUAACCCGUCUUGAA
RNAcentral lists this ribosomal RNA (743 nucleotides) under Barbaria madonnae. Its description in RNAcentral is "partial large subunit ribosomal RNA". It matches the Rfam family "Eukaryotic large subunit ribosomal RNA", at positions 33 to 658 of the family's 3401-position model. Lineage: Eukaryota; Metazoa; Tardigrada; Heterotardigrada; Echiniscoidea; Echiniscidae. The record is from RNAcentral.